AAUAGAACCAGAUUGCUUUUAAUCGGCAAGGAGGGGCAGCAGUCAGGUUUGAGGCCAGACUGUUGCACCAGAGUCUUGGGGUUUUCAGAAUAUAUAGGGGAGUUUAGAAGGUCUGUUUUUUGUCCAGGUUAUUUUUCUCAGUUACAGUUUAGCGAGUGUGGUCAGUUGACUGGGGAGUGAUCGUGUGUCCAGCGCCGUUAGGAACUGUUCGUGCCUGGAGUCAGCAGAAGUUGUUCUCAGUACCUCCUCCUGGGCGACCGGGGCUUCCCUUCAGAGUACAUUAUGCUAAGUGAAAUCAGCCAGUCAAAAAAAAAAAACACCUGUAUGAUUCCACUUACAUGAGGUACCUAGAGUAGUCAAACUCAGAGAGACAGAAAGUAGAAUAAAAGUCACAGGAUGGGAGUCCCUGUUAUGGUUCAGUGGUUAACAAAUCCAACUGAGAACCAUGAGGUUGCGGGUUCGAUCCCUGGCUUCGCUCAGUGGGUUAAGGAUCCAGAAUUGCUGUGAGCCAUGUGUUGCUGUGAGCUGUGGUGUAGAUUGCAGACGCGGCUCAGAUCUGGCUUUGCUAGGGCUGUGGUGCAGGCCUGCAGCUACAUCUCUGAUUCAACCCCUAACCUGGGAACUUCCAUAUGCCACAGGAGCAACCCUAAAAAAAAAGAAAAAGAAAAAGAAAAAAAUGCAUGUGUGAGGUUCCAAUGUGUCUGCAUCUGUGUGUCUAUUGUAUGAGUGUGUGCUGGUUUUGAGAUUGUAGACUCUGCGUGUGUUACAGUUGGGGAGUUGUGUGAGCAUGGGUGGAAUGGGGGCACUUGUGUAUGGGCACAUUUGAGUGUAUGUAUCCCAGAGCUGGUCAAUCUCUGUCCUUGACUCUGUUCUGUUCUGAUAUCACCUCCUCUGGGAAGCCACCCUGACCUCUGUCACCAGCAUCCCUCAGUCUCCCCUGGUGCCCUCUGUGUCCCUGACACAACUCUAUCACCCCACCUGACACACUAACAGCCAGCAUUUCUGUCUGUCCCAAGUCUGGGCAGGAACCCUGAGUCAACAUGGGACAGGGCGCAUGGCAGGGGCUCCAUCCAAGCUUGUGUGUGUGUGUGUGUGUGUGUGUGUGUGUGUGUGUGUGUGUGUGAGUGAGAUAUGUCACAUAAGUGGCCUGUAUGUGUCUGAAGAUGUCGGGGUGUGUGUUUGCAGGGACGGAGAGGGGUAUCAUCUGACAAAGCCCAGUACCCCCAUUCUGUUUGGAUCCUGGGGGCCUGUAGUCCUUCUCCCAGAUUUCUCACCCAUAGGCCUCCUUCUCAGGGCUGCCCGACCCUGUGACAAAGUGCAGGCCCUCUCUCACGUGGUCACCGGUGGACCUAGGGUCAGCCAGAGUGCUAUUCCUCUUUGAUCUGAUUUCAGGUCAAAGCUCUGUCUCUUGGCUGGAUAGGACUGAAGCUACUUUGGGGCAGCUCUUCCUAUUGGCCACUUGGGACUUGGAUCUCUGGGAUUCUUUACCCCCCAACUGGUCCUGGAGUCAAUUUGAAAUUGUCAGACCAAACUUUAAAUAUCUCAUGUCCAACUCCAACCUGCAAGCACAAGGCCUGAGUCCCCAGCCUCUGAAGUCUAUUAUGUUCCCUCUGGUAACAACUUGUGUCCAUCUUUAUGUUCUGUCUUCUAUGCAUAGAUCCUAGGACCCCAAGCUCAUUCCCCCUUGGAAGUCCUUCCUAUGUCUAACUUAUUUCUUUUCCAGCUGGGGU
RNAcentral lists this long non-coding RNA (1730 nucleotides) under Sus scrofa (pig). RNAcentral's name for it is "lncRNA (ENSSSCG00000048347.1, ENSSSCG00055015443.1)". The record is from RNAcentral. Lineage: Eukaryota; Metazoa; Chordata; Mammalia; Artiodactyla; Suidae.